GGGGGCGUUCUGGUUUCGACGGAAUGUUUGAAGCGCUGGCCGCACGUAGAGGUUGAUCGGCUGGCCUCUCAAAAAAGCCGCUCAAAACAAAUAAAUGCAGACUCUAACGAGCUCGCACUGGCUGCUUAAUUGACGGCCACGUCAAAUCCCUGAUGUCUGUUAGGGGAGGCGGCGCAACUUAGCAGACUGGGUAGGGAGCCGGGGAACCGGGCACCUUGCCGAGACCAAACAGGUUCCUAGGGAGCGCAACGCGGCGGAUCGGCCCAGCACUUCCGAAACACCAGAUGAUCCGCUAAACGUGUAGACGCCUUUGUAGAUGGCGUUCCGGACAGGGGUUCGACUCCCCUCGCCUCCACCA
Molecule: transfer-messenger RNA, 358 nt
Filed under: Verrucomicrobiales bacterium
Lineage: Bacteria; Pseudomonadati; Verrucomicrobiota; Verrucomicrobiia; Verrucomicrobiales
Rfam family: transfer-messenger RNA
About the family: Bacterial tmRNA, also known as 10Sa RNA or SsrA, is named for its dual tRNA and mRNA-like properties. Its role is to liberate the mRNA from a stalled ribosome.
Source: RNAcentral